This 587-nucleotide ribosomal RNA is filed under the name uncultured bacterium. Its description in RNAcentral is "partial 16S ribosomal RNA". It matches the Rfam family "Bacterial small subunit ribosomal RNA", at positions 355 to 1376 of the family's 1533-position model. The record is from RNAcentral.
UGGGGAAUUUUGGACAAUGGGCGCAAGCCUGAUCCAGCCAUGCCGCGUGCGGGAAGAAGGCCUUCGGGUUGUAAACCGCUUUUGUCAGGGAAGAAAUCUUCUGAGUUAAUACCUCGGGAGGAUGACGGUACCUGAAGAAUAAGCACCGGCUAACUACGUGCCAGCAGCCGCGGUAAUACGUAGGGUGCAAGCGUUAAUCGGAAUUACUGGGCGUAAAGCGUGCGCAGGCGGUUUUGUAAGACAGAGGUGAAAUCCCCGGGCUCAACCUGGGAACUGCCUUUGUGACUGCAAGGCUUGAGUGCGACAGAGGGGGAUGGAAUUCCGCGUGUAGCAGUGAAAUGCGUAGAUAUGCGGAGGAACACCGAUGGCGAAGGCAAUCCCCUGGGCCUGCACUGACGCUCAUGCACGAAAGCGUGGGGAGCAAACAGGAUUAGAUACCCCUGGUAGUCCACGCCCUAAACGAUGUCAACUGGUUGUUGGGAAGGUUCCUUCUCAGUAACGUAGCUAACGCGUGAAGUUGACCGCCUGGGGAGUACGGCCGCAAGGUUGAAACUUAAAUGAAUUGACGGGGUCAUAGCUGUUUCCUG